RNAcentral lists this ribosomal RNA (405 nucleotides) under uncultured bacterium. Its description in RNAcentral is "bacterial SSU rRNA". It matches the Rfam family "Bacterial small subunit ribosomal RNA", at positions 355 to 776 of the family's 1533-position model. The record is from RNAcentral.
UGGGGAAUAUUGCACAAUGGGGGAAACCCUGAUGCAGCGACGCCGCGUGAGUGACGAAGUAUUUCGGUAUGUAAAGCUCUAUCAGCAGGGAAGAAAAUGACGGUACCUGACUAAGAAGCCCCGGCUAACUACGUGCCAGCAGCCGCGGUAAUACGUAGGGGGCAAGCGUUAUCCGGAUUUACUGGGUGUAAAGGGAGCGUAGGUGGCAUGGUAAGCCAGAAGUGAAAACCCAGGGCUCAACUCUGCGGAUUGCUUUUGGAACUAUCAGGCUGGAGUGCUGGAGGGGUAAGCGGAAUUCCUAGUGUAGCGGUGAAAUGCGUAGAUAUUAGGAGGAACACCGGUGGCGAAGGCGGCUUACUGGACAGAAACUGACACUGAGGCUCGAAAGCGUGGGGAGCAAACAGG